AUUGAAUAGCAGUUAGUUGUCUCAAAGCGGGUGUGUCAGCCCUACAGCGUGUACUCUGCCAGUUCACAAUGCCACUCUCAUCUGGUGUCACAAUAGCGUGCAUUUAAAAACCAAAAAACUUUUUUCACUGUUAUAGAUUGAAUAGCAGUUAGUUGUCUCAAAGCAGGUGUGUCAGCCCUACAGCGUGUACUCUGCCAGUUCACAGUGCCACUCAUAUCUG
Molecule: non-coding RNA, 220 nt
Organism: Pelobates cultripes (western spadefoot toad)
Lineage: Eukaryota; Metazoa; Chordata; Amphibia; Anura; Pelobatidae
Source: the annotation of a GenBank genome assembly